RNAcentral lists this ribosomal RNA (440 nucleotides) under uncultured bacterium. RNAcentral describes it as "partial 16S ribosomal RNA". It matches the Rfam family "Bacterial small subunit ribosomal RNA", at positions 338 to 795 of the family's 1533-position model. The record is from RNAcentral.
CCUACGGGAGGCAGCAGUAGGGAAUAUUGCUCAAUGGGGGAAACCCUGAAGCAGCAACGCCGCGUGGAGGAUGAAGGUUUUAGGAUUGUAAACUCCUUUUGUUAGAGAAGAUUAUGACGGUAUCUAACGAAUAAGCACCGGCUAACUCCGUGCCAGCAGCCGUGGUAAUACGGAGGGUGCAAGCGUUAUUCGGAAUCACUGGGCGUAAAGCGUGCGUAGGCGGGGUAAUAAGUCAGAUGUGAAAUCCUGUAGCUUAACUACAGAACUGCAUUUGAAACUGUUACUCUGGAGUGUGGGGAAGGUAGGUGGAAUUCUUGGUGUAGGGGUAAAAUCCGUAGAGAUCAAGAGGAAUACUCAUUGCGAAGGCGGCCUGCUGAAACGUUACUGACGCUGAUGCACGAAGGCGUGGGGAGCGAACAGGAUUAGAUACCCUAGUAGUC